This 21-nucleotide microRNA is filed under the name Oikopleura dioica. RNAcentral describes it as "odi-miR-219". Its record names the gene odi-miR-219. The record is from miRBase by way of RNAcentral. Lineage: Eukaryota; Metazoa; Chordata; Appendicularia; Copelata; Oikopleuridae.
UGAUUGUCCAAACGCAAUUAG